AUAGGGUUGGGAAUCCAGGGGAGCAAUGGAGGAAAUGAUAAGCCUGAACAAACUCACUCUCAGAUGGGAGAGGAAGAGGCUGCACAGUCAGUCAAGGAAAGCCUGAUGGUCUCUGGUUCUUCACCUCUCAGGUAGUAAAGCUGCUGUUCUCCCCACUUACAGGAGGAAAUCCCCACAGCCCAGCUCUUACAAAAAUGUAAUUCUUAAGCCCUAGGACAGAGUGAUGAACCUUCUUCCAAGGAUGCCCAGAGGAGCUCCAGUCUGCACCUUCACCUUGGACGAUGUCUCCUGGCUUCCAGCAUAGAUCUUCCAGCCUUCCAUCACUGACCCUUCAGCCACCUGAUAUGGACUUGCACAGGACAUUACAGUGAACUCCAGGCCUUCAGUCUUUGAUUGAUCCUUUGGAUCUCAAGCAUGCAGACAGCCCUUUUGUUCUCUUCCACACAUGACUCUGUAGGCAGCCGUUAUAGAGGAGCAAGAGUGAGUUCCCAAGGGCCUGCUGAAGUGGCCCAGGAAGAAGAGAAGCUGGGAGAUGACUGCUUUUUUGCAAACUCAAAUCAGAAAAUGUGCGUGUGACCACAUGGCUUCUGUCAACAGAUUAGGAAGGGAAAGCAGAAAGCUUCCCUCCAGGAGCUGAGAUUACCGUGCAAACAA
Molecule: long non-coding RNA, 654 nt
Organism: Heterocephalus glaber (naked mole-rat)
Lineage: Eukaryota; Metazoa; Chordata; Mammalia; Rodentia; Bathyergidae
Source: RefSeq, a predicted model, not a curated record